GUAUAUAUUAUAUAGGUACAACAUUCUAUUAACAUACAUUGGGGUAAAAUGAAGCAACAUAGACCUUUUCAGGUCUACAAAAAGUGCACAGGUGGAGAUAUAAAGAUGACAAGGUGUGCACAUGCUCCCUGGAGAACCAGCAACAACCCAUCAGGUUUAUUUCAAUAAUGAUCCUUCCGCAGGUUCACCUACGGAAA
RNAcentral lists this unclassified non-coding RNA (197 nucleotides) under uncultured fungus. Its description in RNAcentral is "sequence contains ITS1". The record is from RNAcentral. Lineage: Eukaryota; Fungi.